GAGAUGCGCUCCUCUGGACCCAGCUGCGCACUGAUGGAGACGGGUUCUGGGAACUUUAGAUGAAGGAAGCGAAAGGGGGCGUGGGCGAGGAGAACCGACACACUGGCCUUUGGACCUUCUGGUCUGGCUCCCCUCUCCCGAAUGGUAAAAAUGAGGAAGUCAGGGGGGCUUAAGAGGAGGGGACAGGGAGUAGAUACACCCCAGAGGAGGAGGAGAGCGGACCUGCCCCGUAUCCAGCCCCUUCCUCGCGCAAGCCUUCCGAUCCCUUCCCCACUCCGGUCAGGGAAACGGGAGAUCCCAGCUUAGAGCCUCCUGGGCUUUGGCACACAGACACCGGCAGGACUCUGGUCGCGUAGGUGACCCCCACUCGGGAUCUCCAGGAUUUCGUGUUUUCCAACUCUGGGCAUUGCUGCGUAAGGAGUUCCAGACGCAGGUAACCAGCCUGGCACUUAGGGGAGACCAAGAAA
RNAcentral lists this long non-coding RNA (467 nucleotides) under Lynx pardinus (Iberian lynx). The record is from RNAcentral. Lineage: Eukaryota; Metazoa; Chordata; Mammalia; Carnivora; Felidae.